This 489-nucleotide ribosomal RNA is filed under the name uncultured bacterium. RNAcentral's name for it is "partial 16S ribosomal RNA". It matches the Rfam family "Bacterial small subunit ribosomal RNA", at positions 30 to 506 of the family's 1533-position model. The record is from RNAcentral.
AUUGAACGCUGGCGGCAGGCCUAACACAUGCAAGUCGAACGGUAACAGGAAGAAGCUUGCUUCUUUGCUGACGAGUGGCGGACGGGUGAGUAAUGUCUGGGAAACUGCCUGAUGGAGGGGGAUAACUACUGGAAACGGUAGCUAAUACCGCAUAACGUCGCAAGACCAAAAAGGGGGACCUUCGGGCCUCUUGCCAUCGGAUGUGCCCAGAUGGGAUUAGCUAGUAGGUGGGGUAACGGCUCACCUAGGCGACGAUCCCUAGCUGGUCUGAGAGGAUGACCAGCCACACUGGACCUGAGACACGGUCCAGACUCCUACGGGAGGCAGCAGUGGGGAAUAUUGCACAAUGGGCGCAAGCCUGAUGCAGCCAUGCCGCGUGUAUGAAGAAGGCCUUCGGGUUGUAAAGUACUUUCAGCGGGGAGGAAGGGAGUAAAGUUAAUACCUUUGCUCAUUGACGUUACCCGCAGAAGAAGCACCGGCUAACUCCGU